CAGAUUGAACGCUGGCGGCAGGCCUAACACAUGCAAGUCGAGCGGCAGCGGGAAGUAGUUUACUACUUUGCCGGCGAGCGGCGGACGGGUGAGUAAUGUCUGGGAAACUGCCUGAUGGAGGGGGAUAACUACUGGAAACGGUAGCUAAUACCGCAUGACCUCGCAAGAGCAAAGUGGGGGACCUUCGGGCCUCACGCCAUCGGAUGUGCCCAGAUGGGAUUAGCUAGUAGGUGGGGUAAUGGCUCACCUAGGCGACGAUCCCUAGCUGGUCUGAGAGGAUGACCAGCCACACUGGAACUGAGACACGGUCCAGACUCCUACGGGAGGCAGCAGUGGGGAAUAUUGCACAAUGGGCGCAAGCCUGAUGCAGCCAUGCCGCGUGUGUGAAGAAGGCCUUCGGGUUGUAAAGCACUUUCAGCGAGGAGGAAGGCAGUCGUGUUAAU
RNAcentral lists this ribosomal RNA (443 nucleotides) under Yersinia aldovae. RNAcentral describes it as "bacterial SSU rRNA". It matches the Rfam family "Bacterial small subunit ribosomal RNA", at positions 25 to 464 of the family's 1533-position model. The record is from RNAcentral. Lineage: Bacteria; Pseudomonadati; Pseudomonadota; Gammaproteobacteria; Enterobacterales; Yersiniaceae.